RNAcentral lists this unclassified non-coding RNA (223 nucleotides) under uncultured Tomentella. RNAcentral's name for it is "sequence contains ITS2". Lineage: Eukaryota; Fungi; Basidiomycota; Agaricomycetes; Thelephorales; Thelephoraceae. The record is from RNAcentral.
ACACCUCAACUCUUCACGGUUUUCCGUGAUGAGCUUGGACUUUGGGGGGUUUUGCUGGCCUACGGUUGGCUCCUCUAAAAUAAAUCAGCUUGCCAGUGUUUGGUGGGUACCAUGGGUGUGAUAACUAUCUACGCUUGUGGUUUUCCGCCAGGUAACCUUCAGCAGUGGAGGUUCGCUGGAGCUCACAGAUGUCUCUCCUCAGUGAGGAUGGGGCCCUUUGAAU